UCUCAGCAGAGAGAGAGGCAAACAAAGGAUUCUACUCGUGGUACAACCAAAUAAGCCACUGGGCUGAGCCGGACAAAUAUGGUCUAGGGAUUGGCCAUUUACCCAGCCAUCUGUCUCCCUUUACUAUGGUGUCCCGGGGCUCGCAGGACAAACACUUGGUGCCAAGGAUCAGGUGGUGUAGGCACAGAGGACAGGCAAAAAGACUCAAGACAGACUGACAGGGUUUUGGUGUUGUUGAGUUUAAAGAUGAGGAAUUUGUGAAGAAAGCAAUUGAGGUCAUGAACAAACACGAUCUGAAUGGCAGACCGCUCAAUAUCAAAGGAUCCUGAUGGUGAGCACGCUUGGCCGGUGCUGCAGCGCUGUUCCCGGGAGGACGGGGUGGAGAAGGCGGUCCAGGAAUGAUGAACCUGCCUCCUGCCAUCGCCAACAAUCCCAACAUCCCACCUGAGAUCAUAAAUGGCCUUCAGGGGGUUGGUGUAAGAUUAGAAUCAGGUACAUGGCAAAUGCCAGCUUCAGAGCUAAACGUUUUCAAAUGUUGCGAACCGUCUCUUUACAUGACAAUGACGAGAUCUUGAACAACCUUGUGUAACCACACUCAGAUGGCAGCCACAGCGGUCAGUCACAAUGUUUCUCUUGGGUUCACUGAGGCAUUGCUUAUACACCACCUCACUCAUAUUUCUCAAGAUAUUUUGUUGAUUUAAAUGCCAUAUGCUCAAUGUAUUAAUUAACAAAACAUGCAUAAUUCCUUGAAUAUUUUCUCUUAUGAAGCCUUCACCAAAAUAAUGACCUUCACCAUUGCUUCACAUACUACAGAGUGAAGUAUUUAGUUCAGAUGCUGUCUGCCCAUGUUGUGUAAAUAGACGCACCUCCCUGACAAGUUGCAGUUCAUCCAUCAAGCCAAUGUUUAUAUAAAUAUCGUAUACAUAUGGUAAGAUCAGAGGGGGCAAAUUAAUGUCUGACUGACUUAUUCAAUGCAACUCAUUCUAUUUCUUUUUUUCCAGUGUUUCCCCACAGUAAUUACUGGGAUCAAUUGAUUCUCAUGACUUGUUUUAUGGCCAGUUUUAGCUAAAUGAGGUUUUGCUUCUGUGAAUGUUUGGUAGUGCACCACAGGAAUUACCGGGAGGGUUACAGCACUAAUGGAUGUCAAGAUUUCUCUAUGAAUUGAUA
This is a long non-coding RNA of Clupea harengus (Atlantic herring), 1167 nucleotides long. RefSeq lists it as uncharacterized. Lineage: Eukaryota; Metazoa; Chordata; Actinopteri; Clupeiformes; Clupeidae. The transcript has 5 exons. The record is from RefSeq and is a predicted model, not a curated record.